GUCAAGUUCUUCCACACCAUGCACUUAUCCAAAGAUGUGUUUAUGGAUCUUGUUUGAACACUGAGGCACAGUCAUGUUGGAAUAGAAAAUUGCCUUCUCUAGACUUUGUAGACAAAGUUGAAAGCAUAGUAUUGUUCAAAAUAUCUUGGCAAGCAUUAAAAUUUCCCCUUACUCAAAGUAAGCUGCCUUGAAAAACAGCCCUAUACCAUUAUCCCUCCUCCACCAAAC
Molecule: non-coding RNA, 228 nt
Organism: Pelobates cultripes (western spadefoot toad)
Lineage: Eukaryota; Metazoa; Chordata; Amphibia; Anura; Pelobatidae
Source: the annotation of a GenBank genome assembly